This 645-nucleotide ribosomal RNA is filed under the name Triticum aestivum (bread wheat). Its description in RNAcentral is "partial small subunit ribosomal RNA". Lineage: Eukaryota; Viridiplantae; Streptophyta; Magnoliopsida; Poales; Poaceae. The record is from RNAcentral.
AUGUCGGAUAUUGCACCUGUGCAGCCAUUGGCUUUGGGUCUCCUCCAGCCGGAGCCCGGCUUCCGCUUCCACCCUACCGGCCAGGAGCUCGUGACCUACGACCUCCUCCGCAAGGUCCACGGCCACCACGCCUUCAUCCCCGAGGUCCAUGUGUACAAGCACGAGCCCUGGGAGCUGCCAGACAAGUCCUUCUCGCCCAGCACACACGACGCCGGGGCCAAGGUGGAAUGGUACUUUUUCGCGGUCAGGGCCCGAAAGUACCCCAACGGGCUUCGCAUGGGGCGGGCAACGGUCGCCGGGUUCUGGAAGUCCACCGGGAAGGAUCGCCCCGUCAUGCACAACGGCGUCAUCGUCGGCAUGAAGAAGACGCUUGUGUUCCACACCGGCCGUGCGCCUGGCGGCACACGCACCGACUGGGUCAUGCAUGAGUAUCGUCUUCAGGGCGACGCCUAUGCAUUGUGUCGAGUCUUCAAAAAGAACACCGUGGCUCCGUUGAUCGAUUUAUCCAGUGAUGCCGACACAUAUGAGGAUCCAAUGCAGUCUGUGCCCGGCGGCGUCGACACGGACAAGGAUUUGAUGGAGCACGUGUCUGACGGGGCCGAUUCACACAAGGAUCCCAAGCAGGAGAUUAUCCACUUAAUUUAG